This 593-nucleotide small RNA is filed under the name Carex polysticha. RNAcentral's name for it is "eukaryotic LSU rRNA". The stretch from base 206 to 360 matches the Rfam family "5.8S ribosomal RNA". The record is from RNAcentral. Lineage: Eukaryota; Viridiplantae; Streptophyta; Magnoliopsida; Poales; Cyperaceae.
CGACCGUCGAACACGUGACAGAAUGCUGCCGCGGAGGCGCUUGCCGCCUCCUCGGCCCCACCGGCCUCCUCCCUCUCGCCCUUCCGGGCGCGUUGGUUGCUGGUCGGAAUACGGCGCGGGAUGACGCCAAGGAACACGGUAAAGCUGAGGCGCCGGCGAGCCGCUCAGGGUCUCCGUCGGUUGCCAAGGCCAACAGAAAAAAUAUGACUCUCGGCAACGGAUAUCUCGGCUCUCGCAUCGAUGAAGAACGUAGCGAAAUGCGAUACGUGGUGUGAAUUGCAGAAUCCCGUGAACCAUCGAGUCUUUGAACGCAAGUUGCGCCCGAGGGACCCUCCCGAGGGCACGCCUGCCUCAUGGGCGUUAGAAGCCCAUCCACGCUCGGUUGCCCAACUAACGGCAGAGAUGCGGACAUUGGCCCUCCGAACCGCGAGGUGCGGUGGGCCUAAGUGUGCGGCCGUCGUACGUGGCCGGGAGCGGCGAGUUGUGGGCUGCUGCGCACGUCGCCCCGAGCCCCGUACCGACGCAGGGCCUUGUACGACCCCCUAACGAGGAGCGAGCCGCUGCGCGGCGCCUUCGGACCGAUACCCCAGGUC